AAAACCUUACCUACCCUUGACAUGGCAGGAAUCCCGGAGAGAUUCGGGAGUGCUCGAAAGAGAACCUGCACACAGGUGCUGCAUGGCUGUCGUCAGCUCGUGUCGUGAGAUGUUGGGUUAAGUCCCGCAACGAGCGCAACCCUUGUCAUUAGUUGCUACGAAAGGGCACUCUAAUGAGACUGCCGGUGACAAACCGGAGGAAGGUGGGGAUGACGUCAAGUCCUCAUGGCCCUUAUGGGUAGGGCUUCACACGUCAUACAAUGGUACAUACAGAGGGCCGCCAACCCGCGAGGGGGAGCUAAUCCCAGAAAGCGUAUCGUAGUGUUUAUUGCAGUGUGCAACUCGAAUGCAUGAAGUUGGAAUCGUUAGUAAUCGCGGAUCAGCAUGUCGCGGUGAAUACGUUACGGGUUCUUGAUACACCGCGGGUCACCCAUGGGAGCGGGUUUUACCAGAAGUAGGUAGCUUAACCGCAAGGAGGGCGCUUACCACGGUAGGAUUCGUGACUGGGGUGAAGUGGUAACAAGGUAA
Molecule: ribosomal RNA, 528 nt
Filed under: uncultured bacterium
Lineage: Bacteria
Description: bacterial SSU rRNA
Rfam family: Bacterial small subunit ribosomal RNA
Source: RNAcentral